Molecule: non-coding RNA, 248 nt
Filed under: Alkaliphilus metalliredigens
Lineage: Bacteria; Bacillati; Bacillota; Clostridia; Peptostreptococcales; Natronincolaceae
Description: T-box sequence
Rfam family: T-box leader
About the family: Uncharged tRNA acts as the effector for transcription antitermination of genes in the T-box leader family.
Source: RNAcentral
UAAUUAGCAAUGAAGGGAAGAGUAGGUUGGUGGCGUUAGUUGAAGAGAGCCGGGUAAGGUGAAAGCCGGUCUGACGAAGCUUACUGAAGAUGGCCCCUGAGCUUUGUGGCUGAGAGAAAGAAUUUUCUUUAGGUCAUGACGGGUUUGCAUCCGAUAGCAAUGCAAAAGUGCAAUGGCACUUACAGAGUAUAUUGUCGCAAGGCAAUGUAGAACUAGGGUGGUACCGUGAAUAUAACCUCGCCCCUAUA